GAAAUUAAAACUACAGGAAAUCCUCCAUGAGUGCUCCAGCCCCACAGAGGACUUCAUUACAGAAUUGCUCAGUCGAUUGAGAGGUCUCAGAAGAGUCACCAAUCCUCAGAAGAAAUGACCUUGCUUACAUAGAAAACCCAGCUCUGGUUAUAAGGAAACUUGUAUCUUCCUGACAAAAGCCAGGAUCAGCAACAGAACUUCUGAAUAUGUUUAGGACUUCUUAUUAUUGAGAAAUAUCACCAAGUCUGUGAACUUUGUACCGGUGGUUUGAAGUCUCCACUCCUUCCAGAUCUACACACACAGCAGGGAGCUAGAUUGUGCAUUUUCCUGAUUCUUAAAGAGUGUGUUAACCUGAGGAACAGGACAAGAUGUCCUUCCUUUAGAUUCUUCUAGGAAUUUCCAUGCUGGCCAAGGAGCACUGAAUACAAUUCUCAGGAGCUCAUCAAGACUUCUUUUUUUUUUGUCCACUGCAAGGAAAACAAGGCAUUGGUUAUCACUCAUUCAUCAACAUGGAAAAUCAGCCACUGUUAAGCUGCACCUCAUUUCAGUUUGGCUUGAACCCAACUGUGAUCUCCUGCCUGUUACUGCUGUACCUGACUCUACAGCAUUGCACAUACUUUGUAAGUCUUAAUAAGCCUCUGUUUUUUAUGAAGGUUGGACAGAAAAUAUACUAUAGUUUGGGUGCACCUGGUCUACUUAAGGGGAAUUUUGUGAAACACCUGUUAAGACUAAUGGCUAUUUUUUUUUUCCUUUUUGUGGAAUUUAAGACUUAAAACUUAGAAGGCUUUUCUAAAGGAACAAGGUCUGGGAAUGAUUUUUGUCCUAGUUUAAAAAGAUGUUGGAAAAAUACUUAUUUUAUAUUAAAACAGAGAAAACCAUCCAUA
Non-coding RNA from Lonchura striata (white-rumped munia), 884 nucleotides. NCBI's taxonomy places the organism in Eukaryota, Metazoa, Chordata, Aves, Passeriformes, Estrildidae. The record is from RefSeq and is a predicted model, not a curated record.